Molecule: ribosomal RNA, 439 nt
Filed under: uncultured bacterium
Lineage: Bacteria
Description: partial 16S ribosomal RNA
Rfam family: Bacterial small subunit ribosomal RNA
Source: RNAcentral
CUACGGGUGGCUGCAGUGAGGAAUAUUGCACAAUGGAGGAAACUCUGAUGCAGCGACGCCGCGUGGAGGAUGACGCAUUUCGGUGUGUAAACUCCUUUUAUAUGUCAAGAAAAUGACGGUAGCAUAUGAAUAAGCACCGGCUAACUCCGUGCCAGCAGCCGCGGUAAUACGGAGGGUGCAAGCGUUACUCGGAAUCACUGGGCGUAAAGGACGCGUAGGCGGGUUGGAAAGUCAGGUGUGAAAUCCUACAGCUUAACUGUAGAACUGCACUUGAAACUUCUAAUCUAGAGUAUGGGAGGGGGAGAUGGAAUUAGUGGUGUAGGGGUAAUAUCCGUAGAUAUCACUAGGAAUACCUAAAGCGAAGGCGAUCUCCUGGAACAUUACUGACGCUAAGGCGUGAAAGCGUGGGGAGCAAACAGGAUUAGAUACCCUAGUAGUC